Long non-coding RNA from Brienomyrus brachyistius, 631 nucleotides. RefSeq lists it as uncharacterized. The transcript has 3 exons. NCBI's taxonomy places the organism in Eukaryota, Metazoa, Chordata, Actinopteri, Osteoglossiformes, Mormyridae. The record is from RefSeq and is a predicted model, not a curated record.
AAGGUGGCAUCUGUAAACCAAGAAGCUGUAAAAGGCCAAGAGGAGCGAGGUGGGGACAUCAGCGAGCGCGCAUUUAAAGAGGAGCGAGGUGGGGACAUCAGCCAGCGCGCAUUUAAAGAGGAGCGAGGUGGGGACAUCAGCCAGCGCGCAUUUAAAGAGGAGCGAGGUGGGGACAUCAGCCAGCGCGCAUUUAAAGAGGAGCGAGGUGGGGACAUCAGCCAGCGCGCAUUUAAAGAGGAGCGAGGUGGGGACAUCAGCCAGCGCGCAUUUAAAGAGGAGCGAGGUGGGGACAUCAGCGAGCGCGCAUUUAAAGAGGAGCGAGGUGGGGACAUCAGCCAGCGCGCAUUUAAAGAGGAGCGAGGUGGGGACAUCAGCGAGCGCGCAUUUAAAGAGGAGCGAGGUGGGGACAUCAGCGAGCGCGCAUUUAAAGAGGAGCGAGGUGGGGACAUCAGCGAGCGCGCAUUUAAAGAGGAGCGAGGUGGGGACAUCAGCGAGCGCGCAUUUAAAGAGCAGCAUCCCGGACGGCUCUUCUGAAACGUGGGUGAAAGGUGACCAAAACUCUCAGAGGUGACGCUGCGGGACACCAUCCAUCACACUGCGAAGGUGCCAUUAGCCGCACGGCAUGUCCAGC